GACGUAGGGGGCCAGCGUUGUUCGGAAUUACUGGGUGUAAAGGGUUCGUAGGCGGUGUGGCAAGUCGGGAGUGAAAUCUUUGGGCUCAACCCAGAGGCUGCUUCCGAAACUGCCGUGCUUGAGUGUGGGAGAGGCGCGUGGAAUUGCAGGUGUAGCGGUGAAAUGCGUAGAUAUCUGCAGGAACACCCGUGGCGAAAGCGGCGCGCUGGACCACUACUGACGCUGAGGAACGAAAGCUAGGGGAGCAAACAGG
RNAcentral lists this ribosomal RNA (253 nucleotides) under uncultured bacterium. RNAcentral describes it as "partial 16S ribosomal RNA". It matches the Rfam family "Bacterial small subunit ribosomal RNA", at positions 524 to 776 of the family's 1533-position model. The record is from RNAcentral.